GCGGGAGUGGCGUAACUGGUAGCCGCGUCGGGUUUAGGUCCCGGUGUCUUCGGACGUAGGGGUUCGAGUCCCCUCUCCCGCA
Molecule: transfer RNA, 82 nt
Filed under: Jiangellaceae bacterium
Lineage: Bacteria; Bacillati; Actinomycetota; Actinomycetes; Jiangellales; Jiangellaceae
Description: tRNA-Leu
Rfam family: tRNA
About the family: Transfer RNA (tRNA) molecules are approximately 80 nucleotides in length.
Source: RNAcentral